Molecule: ribosomal RNA, 253 nt
Filed under: uncultured bacterium
Lineage: Bacteria
Description: partial 16S ribosomal RNA
Rfam family: Bacterial small subunit ribosomal RNA
Source: RNAcentral
UACAGAGGGGGCAAGCGUUGUUCGGAAUUACUGGGCGUAAAGGGCGCGUAGGCGGCCCGCUAAGUCGAACGUGAAAUCCCCGAGCUCAACUCGGGAACUGCGUCCGAUACUGGCGGGCUUGAAUCCGGGAGAGGGAUGCGGAAUUCCAGGUGUAGCGGUGAAAUGCGUAGAUAUCUGGAGGAACACCGGUGGCGAAGGCGGCAUCCUGGACCAACACUGACGCUGAGGAGCGAAAGCCAGGGGAGCAAACGGG